Molecule: transfer RNA, 76 nt
Filed under: Clostridium sp. KNHs216
Lineage: Bacteria; Bacillati; Bacillota; Clostridia; Eubacteriales; Clostridiaceae
Description: tRNA-Ala
Source: RNAcentral
AAGGUAUUAGCCCAGCUGGGAGUUCUCUACACUGGCAAUAUAGAGGUCAGCGGUCCGGACCCGCCAUGCUCUUCCA